Molecule: RNase P RNA, 466 nt
Filed under: Hymenobacter cyanobacteriorum
Lineage: Bacteria; Pseudomonadati; Bacteroidota; Cytophagia; Cytophagales; Hymenobacteraceae
Description: RNase P RNA component class A
Rfam family: Bacterial RNase P class A
About the family: Ribonuclease P (RNase P) is a ubiquitous endoribonuclease, found in archaea, bacteria and eukarya as well as chloroplasts and mitochondria. Its best characterised activity is the generation of mature 5'-ends of tRNAs by cleaving the 5'-leader elements of precursor-tRNAs.
Source: RNAcentral
GUGAUGGGUCGCCUCACCGCGGCGCUCUCGGGCGACGAGGAAAGUCCGGGCAACGCAGAGCACCUUGCUUCCUAACGGGAAGGACUGGCGCGCAUAACGCAACCCAGGACAGCGAGUGCCACAGAAAAUUACCGCCUGACGGGAGUUUUAAGUGUUGAAUGUUGAGGGUUGAGUUUUUAAUUCAGCCCUUAUAACUCAACCCUCAACACUCCCUAACGGUAAGGGUGAAAAGGUGCGGUAAGAGCGCACCAGCGGGCGGGUGACCGUCCCGGCUGGGUAAACCUCAGGGGUUGAAAGACCAAAUAAGCUGGUACGCCGGCGCGGCUUCGGCCGCAUCGGCUCCGGGCGGCUCGUUCGGCGCCAGCGGGUAGGUUGAUGGAGCCUUUCGGCAACGACUGGCCUAGAUAAAUGGUGAGGCAGGGGCUUCGGCCCCGGACAAAACCCGGCUUACAGACCCAUCACACCA